GGUUCAUUCAAAUUUCUGCCCUAUCAACUUUCGACGGCUGGGUCUUGGCCAGCCGUGGUGACAACGGGUAACGGAGGGUUAGGGCUCGACCCCGGAGAAGGGGCCUGAGAAACGGCUACUACAUCCAAGGAAGGCAGCAGGCGCGCAAAUUACCCAAUCCCGACCGGGGAGGUAGUGACAAUAAAUACUGAUACAGGGCUCUUUCGGGUCUUGUAAUUGGAAUGAGUACAAUUUAAAUCCCUUAACGAGGAACAAUUGAAGGGCAAGUCUGGUGCCAGCAGCCGCGGUAAUUCCAGCUCCAAUAGCGUAUAUUAAAGUUGUGAGGUUAAAAAGCUCGUAGUUG
RNAcentral lists this ribosomal RNA (343 nucleotides) under uncultured fungus. RNAcentral describes it as "SSU rRNA". It matches the Rfam family "Eukaryotic small subunit ribosomal RNA", at positions 292 to 636 of the family's 1831-position model. The record is from RNAcentral. Lineage: Eukaryota; Fungi.